GAUGAAAGUGGGGGAUCGCAAGACCUCAUGCUCCUGGAGCGGCCGAUAUCUGAUUAGCUAGUUGGUGAGGUAAAGGCUCACCAAGGCGACGAUCAGUAGCUGGUCUGAGAGGACGACCAGCCACACUGGAACUGAGACACGGUCCAGACUCCUACGGGAGGCAGCAGUGGGGAAUUUUGGACAAUGGGCGCAAGCCUGAUCCAGCAAUGCCGCGUGAGUGAAGAAGGCCUUCGGGUUGUAAAGCUCUUUUGUCAGGGAAGAAACGGCUCGAGCUAAUAUCUUGGGCUAAUGACGGUACCUGAAGAAUAAGCACCGGCUAACUACGUGCCAGCAGCCGCGGUAAUACGUAGGGUGCAAGCGUUAAUCGGAAUUACUGGGCGUAAAGCGUGCGCAGGCGGUUUUGUAAGUCUGUCGUGAAAGCCCCGGGCUCAACCUGGGAAUUGCGAUGGAGACUGCAAGGCUUGAAUCUGGCAGAGGGGGGUAGAAUUCCACGUGUAGCAGUGAAAUGCGUAGAGA
RNAcentral lists this ribosomal RNA (516 nucleotides) under Massilia brevitalea. RNAcentral's name for it is "bacterial SSU rRNA". It matches the Rfam family "Bacterial small subunit ribosomal RNA", at positions 199 to 696 of the family's 1533-position model. The record is from RNAcentral. Lineage: Bacteria; Pseudomonadati; Pseudomonadota; Betaproteobacteria; Burkholderiales; Oxalobacteraceae.